This is a long non-coding RNA of Otolemur garnettii (small-eared galago), 748 nucleotides long. RefSeq lists it as uncharacterized. The record is from RefSeq and is a predicted model, not a curated record. The transcript is spliced from 4 exons. Lineage: Eukaryota; Metazoa; Chordata; Mammalia; Primates; Galagidae.
CCAGGGGGUGGAGUCCGUCAAAGAGGUGUGUGCAAAGCACUGUGGGGGCCGGAGGUGGAAGUGUCCGAUGCUGGGAGCAGCGGGAGUGGAGGCGGCUGUGGCCAGUCAAGGCUCACAGAUGGGCCAGAUCUGAAUGAACAGGCAGGAGGAGUCUGCACCUGUAGGGGGUCAGGUGCGGACGUCCCAAGUAGAGAGGACAGCCUGCGCAAGAUACUGCAGGUGGGAAAAUCCCGGCAUGAUCAGGAAAUUGCGUGUCAUUCUAUACAGCGCCACCAAGGAUGUGUGGAGAACAGGUAUGAUGUAUAUCAGAGCAGCACAAACCACAGGACUGAAGAUUAUUAGCCCUUGUACCCCCGGGAAUGCUUACCUUGCCUUCCUGGGCAGGGUCCCUGAUGGGCCCUUGGUAGGGCGCCAUGGACUCCCAAGUGACAACCACCACACUACCGGGCUGGAAAGAGACCUCUGGGAACCCUCUCUGGACACACUCUGCUGCCAGCUGAGUGACAGAUGGAGAUAAGUCUUCCCGCGCCCACUCCCAGAACACUAUCGCAGAACACAACAGAAUCUGGCAAAGACACAAGCCUGAAUCGAAAACCGCAGCAUUGUUUUUCCAGGGGCUGCAGAUUGGAAGCUAAUCUAAAACAGCGACUCUCGGCUCAGCGCCUGUGGCUCAAGUGGCUAAGGCACCAGCCACAUACAACUAAGGUGGCGGGUUCAAAUCCAGCCUGGGCCCACCAAACAACAAUGA